Molecule: ribosomal RNA, 497 nt
Filed under: uncultured bacterium
Lineage: Bacteria
Description: partial 16S ribosomal RNA
Rfam family: Bacterial small subunit ribosomal RNA
Source: RNAcentral
GAUGAACGCUGGCGGCGUGCCUAAUACAUGCAAGUCGAGCGAACGGACGAGAAGCUUGCUUCUCUGAUGUUAGCGGCGGACGGGUGAGUAACACGUGGAUAACCUACCUAUAAGACUGGUAUAACUUCGGGAAACCGGAGCUAAUACCGGAUGAUAUUUUGAACCGCAUGGUUCAAAAGUUAAAUACGGUCUUGCUGUCUCUUAUAGAUUGAUCCGCGCUGCAUUAGCUAGUUGGUAAGGUAACGGCUUACCAAGGCAACGAUGCAUAGCCGACCUGAGAGGGUGAUCGGCCACACUGGAACUGAGACACGGUCCAGACUCCUACGGGAGGCAGCAGUAGGGAAUAUUCCGCAAUGGGCGAAAGCCUGACGGAGCAACGCCGCGUGAGUGAUGAAGGUCUUCGGAUCGUAAAACUCUGUUAUUAGGGAAGAACAUAUGUGUAAGUAACUGUGCACAUCUUGACGGUACCUAAUCAGAAAGCCACGGCUAACUACGUG